GAUGAGGUCCAUUUUUCUUCUUCAUUUCCUAGAGUUCCUUUCUCAGUGUUGGUGUGUUGCCCAGCAAGCCUCCGUGUUAUCAAAGAAGAUGAAUCUGAUGACGAGGAUACCUGCCUGGACGGUGUUCCUGAUCUGUUUUCAGACCCUGAGUUCCUUUCUCAGUGUUGGUGUGUUGCCCAGCAAGACUCCGUGUUAUCAAAGAAGAUGAAUCUGAUGACGAGGAUACCUGCCUGGACGGUGUUCCUGAUCUGUUUUCAGACCCUGGUGACUAUAUGUAUAGAAAAAAUAUAUAAAAAUAUGAUGAUGUUGAACUCUGAGUGUAAACAUAACUUGGCCCUAAAGAAAUGAACUAUUCACUGAAAAUCGCAAGAAGAAGUUAUUGGGGAUAAAGAGAGUCUGGGGAAGUUAUGUGAUAAACAGGAGGGAAAUGUUCUAAUAACUAUAAUAAAUAAUAAAUGGGUUGUACUUGUAUAGCGCUUUUCUACCUUCAAGGUACUCAAAGCGCUUUGACACUACUUCCACAUUUACCCAUUCACACACUGAUGGAGGGAGCUGCCAUGCAAAGCGCUAACCAGCACCCAUCAGGAGCAAGGGUGAAGUGUCUUGCUCAGGACACAACGGACAUGACGAGAUGUCAUCAGUGUUUGAACCUGACACUGUGGAACCUAACUCUCGCGAUAAUGGAGGGAACUCUGUACUAGCGAUCUG
Long non-coding RNA from Nerophis ophidion (straightnose pipefish), 708 nucleotides. RefSeq lists it as uncharacterized. The transcript is spliced from 3 exons. NCBI's taxonomy places the organism in Eukaryota, Metazoa, Chordata, Actinopteri, Syngnathiformes, Syngnathidae. The record is from RefSeq and is a predicted model, not a curated record.